UAGUUUUUUACUGAUUCAUACAAGAUGGCAGCGCUCAUUGGAAAACAUUUCGGAAUGUCAAACGUCUGAAAAUCUUUAACGCUCGUUUACAAUAAACGGUUAUUUUGCUUGUUAAUUCGUUUAAUAACAAUUAAUAAACCACGAUGUUCAGGGUAUCAUUUAUACAAAGAACUAUCCAAAGAAGGAUCUGUAAGAGAUGGUUCUCCUCUGUCACCCAGUCAGAGCCUUUGAGAAAUUCAGCAGUACAGGACACUGUGAGAGUUCUCCAGCCUGGUACCACACUACAUGGUUAUACAGUGGAGAAGAUUGAAGAGGUACCUGAGUUAUUUCUGACUGCUGUGUGCUUGCAACACAACAAGACAGGAGCACAGCACCUGCAUGUGGCUAGGGAUGAUACCAACAAUACAUUCAGUGUUGCAUUCAAGACCACACCACUGGAUAGCACAGGUGUGCCUCACAUCCUAGAGCAUACUGUGCUAUGCGGCUCCCAGAAAUACCCCGUCAGGGACCCCUUCUUCAAAAUGAUUAACAGAUCCCUGGCCACAUUUAUGAAUGCAUUCACAGCAAGUGACUGGACAAUGUAUCCAUUUUCUACACAAAACCGUCAGGACUUCAAGAACCUGCUCUCUAUUUACCUGGACGCUGUCUUCUACCCACAGCUGCGGGAGCUCGACUUCAGCCAGGAGGGAUGGCGACUGGAGCCCGUGGACCUGACAGACCCCAACUCUCCUCUUACUUUCAAGGGGGUCGUCUACAAUGAGAUGAAGGGAGUCUUCUCCAGUCAGCAGAGCAUCUUCUGUGAGGCAGUACAGAACCGGCUGUUGCCAAGCCACACGUAUGGAGUGGUAUCCGGGGGCGACCCUGCCUGCAUACCCGACCUCACCUGGCAGCAGCUGAAGCAUUUUCACCAGACACACUACCAUCCCAGCAAUGCCCGGUUCUUUACCUAUGGCAGUUUUCCCCUGGCCGAUCAUCUGCACUACAUCAAUGAGGAUUACCUGAAGCACUUUGAUGCUGUCACCGUGAACACAGACGUCCCAAAUGAGCCCCGAUGGGACACCCCGAGGGAGGUCAGUAUCAGCUGUCAGUCUGACCCGAUGGCAGCAGACCCAGCCAAGCAGACCACAGUGUCUGUCAACUAUCUACUGUCAGAGAUCACAGACUCAGAUGAGGCAACCACACUGAGUAUCCUGUCCACCCUUCUGACAGAUGGGGAGACAUCACCAUUCUACCAGGCCUUGCUGGAGGCCAACAUCGGCUCUGACUACUCUCCUGUCAUUGGCUACAAUGGAUACAUGAAGGAGAGCACUUUCUCUGUUGGACUUCAAGGCAUUCAUGAGAAAGAUGUUGUCACGGUGAAGAAAAUUAUUGCUGAAACCAUAGACAAGGUCAUACGGGAUGGUUUUGAGCAGUCCAGAAUAGAUGCCAUACUUCAUCGUAUAGAGCUGCAGACCAAGCAUCAGACCAGUAACUUUGGACUCGGCAUCAUCAUGUCUAUAGCCAGUACAUGGAACCAUGGGGGAGAUGCAGCCAGGGCCCUCAAGGUGAACAGCCUCAUGCAGAGGUUCAAACUGAACAUGCAGAACGACCCACAGUACCUUCAGAUGAAACUCAAGAAAUACUUAAAGGACAAUCGCCACUGCCUAACCGUGAUUAUGAAGCCAGAUGACAAAUAUGGCAUGAUUCGCCAGGAGCAGGAGGCGCAGAAACUGCAGAGCUGUGUGAGUCACCUGGGAGAGGCAGAGAGGCAGAGGAUUGUCAGGCUAGGUGAGGAGCUUCAGAAGACUCAGAACAUGGCUGAGGACCUGUCCUGUCUACCCUGCAUACAGCUUGCUGAAAUUGAUCGCAACAUCAAACCUGAAAGUGUUAACAUUAACCAUGUCGAUGGUGUCCCAGUGUAUGCUAGUGCCCAACCCACCAAUGAGAUUGUGUACCUGAAGAUGGUGUCCUACCUGGACCAAGUCCCAGAGGAGAUGAAGAUGUAUGUGCCCCUCCUCGCCAGCAUCAUCACCAAGAUGGGUGCAGGUGUGUACGACUACAAGGCCUUGUCCCACCAGGUGGAGCUCUUCACAGGGGGUCUCCAUGGCGACUGUCACGUGGUUGCUAGCCCCACUAACCCCAGGGGCCUUGACCAGGGCCUUGUUUUCACCUCCCACUGCCUGGAGAGGAACAUCAGCAACAUGCUGGGGCUAUGGACAGAAAUAUUUGACAGGGCCACAUUGCGAGAUGGCAGGAGGCUGGAGACCCUGAUCAAGAUGUGUGCAGCUGACCUGGCAGCGGGUCUCCCCAACUCUGGACACAACUAUGCCAUGACUCACAGUGCAGCUUCCCUCUCCCCAGCAGCAAGGCUCAGUGAAAUGUUCACGGGGAUGUCACAGGUGUCAGUUAUGAAGAAGAUUGCUGAACUCGACGAUAACAGCAAAGUGAUGGAGCAUUUGAUUGAGCUGGCUCAACAGAUCAUGAACAAAAAUUCCCUCAAGGUAAUGGUGAAUGCAACACCCCAGUUCAUGUCCAGUUCCCUGGUCAAGAUAGAGCAGUUUAUCUCAACAUUGCAUAGCAACCGUAAACCAGAGCUCCGUCUGCCUAGAGACCACAUGACUCUUGCAGGUGAUUUCAGGCCAGCAUCUCAGAAGACACAGUUUGAGCUGCCAUUCUCUGUGAACUACAUGAGCAAGAGUGUACUGGCAGUGCCCUACAUGCAUGAGGACUUUGCCCGGUUACAAGUUCUAUCUCGAUUGUUGUCAUGGAAAUUCCUUCACCGUGAGAUACGAGAGAAGGGUGGGGCCUAUGGAGGAGGAGCAGUGAUGUCGCCUAGCAACGGGGUCUUCAGCUUCUACUCCUACAGGGACCCUAACUCCCUGGCCACCCUUGACACGUUUGAGAACUCCAUUGUAUGGGCAGCCAAUGGAGGCUUCACAGACACAGAUGUGGAGGAGGCCAAGAUCACCAUGUUCCAGCAGAUAGACAAGCCAGUGCCCCCUGGUCAGAGUGAGUGUACAGUAGUAGUGUGGGUUGCAGAUAGACAAGCCAGUGCCCCCUGGUCAGAUGGGAAACAAGCUGUUCCUAAGCAACAUUACAAAUGAGAUGCGACAGAUCACGCGGGGCAGGCUGUUUGCGGUCACAAAAACUGAGCUACAAGAGGUUACACAUAAGUAUCUGUUGGCUGGGAAACAAGAAUCAUCUUUGACAUUUCUUGGUCCAAGUAAUAGUGUGGUAGCUGAGGACAAAUCCUGGAAGGUUGUCAAGGAGUAGCAGGUGCCAGUGCCUGUUAUAAGUACAGCACGUGGUUCAGCAAGGUGCAGGGCCAUAAUGGGACUCUUCCAAAGAAGAAUGGCUGUUCCUGAACAGUUAUAAUCCAUUCAAAUUAUGGACUGUGAAGAUGAUAUCUUCUUUGCAAAGUGUGAAGAAAUAAAAAUUUCAUUGUUAGUAUCCAAUUUAUUUGACUAUUGUUUACUUGCCUUAGUUGUUGAUGUAAGACAGUAUCAAAUAACAAAAAAAUGUGUGUUUGAAAAUGAAAAAACAACAAUAAAAAACAUGCAUAUU
Dreissena polymorpha is the source of this 3543-nucleotide RNA transcript. It is a transcript of the gene named presequence protease, mitochondrial-like, with no coding region annotated. The transcript is spliced from 25 exons. Lineage: Eukaryota; Metazoa; Mollusca; Bivalvia; Myida; Dreissenidae. The record is from RefSeq and is a predicted model, not a curated record.